RNAcentral lists this ribosomal RNA (595 nucleotides) under Bacillus subtilis. Its description in RNAcentral is "bacterial SSU rRNA". It matches the Rfam family "Bacterial small subunit ribosomal RNA", at positions 82 to 662 of the family's 1533-position model. The record is from RNAcentral. Lineage: Bacteria; Bacillati; Bacillota; Bacilli; Caryophanales; Bacillaceae.
CUCCCUGAUGUUAGCGGCGGACGGGUGAGUAACACGUGGGUAACCUGCCUGUAAGACUGGGAUAACUCCGGGAAACCGGGGCUAAUACCGGAUGGUUGUUUGAACCGCAUGGUUCAAACAUAAAAGGUGGCUUCGGCUACCACUUACAGAUGGACCCGCGGCGCAUUAGCUAGUUGGUGAGGUAACGGCUCACCAAGGCAACGAUGCGUAGCCGACCUGAGAGGGUGAUCGGCCACACUGGGACUGAGACACGGCCCAGACUCCUACGGGAGGCAGCAGUAGGGAAUCUUCCGCAAUGGACGAAAGUCUGACGGAGCAACGCCGCGUGAGUGAUGAAGGUUUUCGGAUCGUAAAGCUCUGUUGUUAGGGAAGAACAAGUACCGUUCGAAUAGGGCGGUACCUUGACGGUACCUAACCAGAAAGCCACGGCUAACUACGUGCCAGCAGCCGCGGUAAUACGUAGGUGGCAAGCGUUGUCCGGAAUUAUUGGGCGUAAAGGGCUCGCAGGCGGUUUCUUAAGUCUGAUGUGAAAGCCCCCGGCUCAACCGGGGAGGGUCAUUGGAAACUGGGGAACUUGAGUGCAGAAGAGGAGAGU